AACGAACGCUGGCGGCAUGCCUGACACAUGCAAGUCGAACGAGAUCUUCGGGUCUAGUGGCGCACGGGUGCGUAACGCGUGGGAAUCUGCCCUUUGGUUCGGAAUAACAGUUGGAAACGACUGCUAAUACCGGAUGAUGACGAGAGUCCAAAGAUUUAUCGCCAGAGGAUGAGCCCGCGUAGGAUUAGCUAGUUGGUGUGGUAAAGGCGCACCAAGGCGACGAUCCUUAGCUGGUCUGAGAGGAUGAUCAGCCACACUGGGACUGAGACACGGCCCAGACUCCUACGGGAGGCAGCAGUGGGGAAUAUUGGACAAUGGGCGAAAGCCUGAUCCAGCAAUGCCGCGUGAGUGAUGAAGGCCUUAGGGUUGUAAGGCUCUUUUACCCGGGAUGAUAAUGACAGUACCGGGAGAAUAAGCUCCGGCUAACUCCGUGCCAGCCGCCGCUGUAA
Molecule: ribosomal RNA, 449 nt
Filed under: uncultured bacterium
Lineage: Bacteria
Description: partial 16S ribosomal RNA
Rfam family: Bacterial small subunit ribosomal RNA
Source: RNAcentral